CCUACGGGAGGCAGCAGUGGGGAAUCUUGCGCAAUGGGCGAAAGCCUGACGCAGCAACGCCGCGUGCGGGAAGAAGGCCUUCGGGUUGUAAACCGCUUUCAGAAGGAACGAAAAUGACGGUACUUUCAGAAGAAGGUGCGGCCAACUACGUGCCAGCAGCCGCGGUGACACGUAGGCACCAAGCGUUGUCCGGAUUUAUUGGGCGUAAAGAGCUCGUAGGCGGUUCGGUAAGUCGGGUGUGAAAACUUUGGGCUCAACCCAAAGCGUGCAUUCGAUACUGUCGUGACUAGAGUUCGGUAGGGGAGCGGGGAAUUCCUAGUGUAGCGGUGAAAUGCGCAGAUAUUAGGAGGAACACCGGUGGCGAAGGCGCCGCUCUGGGCCGAAACUGACGCUGAGGAGCGAAAGCGUGGGUAGCAAACAGGAUUAGAUACCCUGGUAGUCCACGCCGUAAACGUUGGGCACUAGGUGUGGGUCUCAACCAACGAGAUCCGCGCCGUCGCAAACGCAUUAAGUGCCCCGCCUGGGGAGUACGGCCGCAAGGUUAAAACUCAAAGGAAUUGACGG
RNAcentral lists this ribosomal RNA (564 nucleotides) under uncultured bacterium. Its description in RNAcentral is "bacterial SSU rRNA". It matches the Rfam family "Bacterial small subunit ribosomal RNA", at positions 338 to 916 of the family's 1533-position model. The record is from RNAcentral.